This is a non-coding RNA of Lingula anatina, 72 nucleotides long. Lineage: Eukaryota; Metazoa; Brachiopoda; Lingulata; Lingulida; Lingulidae. The record is from Rfam.
UAGAUGUGAUGAGCUUUUAUCUUCAUGGUCCGUGUUUCUGACAGCCAGUGAUACUACUGAAGAUCUGAUCUU